Molecule: small RNA, 60 nt
Filed under: Sinorhizobium meliloti 2011
Lineage: Bacteria; Pseudomonadati; Pseudomonadota; Alphaproteobacteria; Hyphomicrobiales; Rhizobiaceae
Description: putative ncRNA
Source: RNAcentral
AUGAAGGUGUCGUCGGAGAAGCCGCCCGGAACCUUGACGGAAGCGGUAUCGGCGCCGUGC